RNAcentral lists this ribosomal RNA (955 nucleotides) under Aphelenchus avenae. RNAcentral describes it as "SSU rRNA". It matches the Rfam family "Eukaryotic small subunit ribosomal RNA", at positions 52 to 1015 of the family's 1831-position model. The record is from RNAcentral. Lineage: Eukaryota; Metazoa; Nematoda; Chromadorea; Rhabditida; Aphelenchidae.
UGCAUGUCUCAGUAUAAACGAUUUAACAGUGAAACCGCGAACGGCUCAUUACAACAGGUAUAAUUUACUUGAUCUUGAUGGAAUCCUACUUGGAUAACUGUGGUAAUUCUAGAGCUAAUACAUGCCCUAAAGCUCUGACCUCGCGGGAAGAGUGCAUUUAUUAGAUCAAAACCAAGCGGCUUCGGCCGUCUGCCACUGACUUAAAGUAACUAAGCUGAUCGUAUGGUCUUGCACCGACGACGUAUCUUUCAAGUAUCUGCCUUAUCAACUUUCGAUGGUAGUGUAGUGGACUACCAUGGUUGUGACGGGUAACGGAGGAUAAGGGUUCGACUCCGGAGAGGGAGCUUGAGACACGGCUACCAUGUCUAAGGACAGCAGCAGGCGCGCAAAUUACCCACUCUCAGAACGAGGAGGUAGUGACGAAAAAUAACGAGACCGUUCUCUAUGAGGCCGGUCAUCGGAAUGGGUACAAUCUAAACCCUUUAACGAGUAUCUAUGAGAGGGCAAGUCUGGUGCCAGCAGCCGCGGUAAUUCCAGCUCUCAAAAUGCAUAGAAUUAUUGCUGCGGUUAAAAAGCUCGUAGUUGGAUCUGUGCUGGGGACUGGGUCCGCCUUCGGGUGUGCACUCAGCUCGCCGGCUUUUUGCCGGUUUUCCCGUUGUGGCCUUUACCGGCUGCAGCGGGUGGCUGGCGAGUUUACCUUGAAGAAAUCAAAGUGCUUAAUACAGGCGAUUUGCUUGAAUGUGGUGCAUGGAAUAAUAGAAAAGGAUUUCGGUUCUCUUUUAUUGGUUUUAUGAGCUGAGAUAAUGGUUAACAGAGACAAACGGGGGCAUUCGUAUCGUUGCGUGAGAGGUGAAAUUCUUGGACCGCAGCGAGACGAACUACAGCGAAAGCAUUUGCCAAGAAUGUCUUCAUUAAUCAAGAACGAAAGUCAGAGGUUCGAAAGGCGAUCAGAUAC